This 73-nucleotide transfer RNA is filed under the name Vicugna pacos (alpaca). Its description in RNAcentral is "tRNA-Gly (ACC) (tRNA-Gly-ACC-22-1)". It matches the Rfam family "tRNA". Rfam says of the family: Transfer RNA (tRNA) molecules are approximately 80 nucleotides in length. The record is from RNAcentral. Lineage: Eukaryota; Metazoa; Chordata; Mammalia; Artiodactyla; Camelidae.
GGAGGGUAUAGCUCAGUGGUACAGUACAUGCUUACCAAGCAUGAGAUCCUGGGUUCAAUCCCCAGUGCCUCCA